RNAcentral lists this ribosomal RNA (874 nucleotides) under Vibrio sp. RNAcentral describes it as "bacterial SSU rRNA". It matches the Rfam family "Bacterial small subunit ribosomal RNA", at positions 530 to 1404 of the family's 1533-position model. The record is from RNAcentral. Lineage: Bacteria; Pseudomonadati; Pseudomonadota; Gammaproteobacteria; Vibrionales; Vibrionaceae.
CGGGGCGGCGUUAAUCGGAUUACUGGGCGUAAAGCGCAUGCAGGUGGUUUGUUAAGUCAGAUGUGAAAGCCCGGGGCUCAACCUCGGAAUAGCAUUUGAAACUGGCAGACUAGAGUACUGUAGAGGGGGGUAGAAUUUCAGGUGUAGCGGUGAAAUGCGUAGAGAUCUGAAGGAAUACCGGUGGCGAAGGCGGCCCCCUGGACAGAUACUGACACUCAGAUGCGAAAGCGUGGGGAGGCAAACAGGAUUAGAUACCCUGGUAGUCCACGCCGUAAACGAUGUCUACUUGGAGGUUGUGGCCUUGAGCCGUGGCUUUCGGAGCUAACGCGUUAAGUAGACCGCCUGGGGAGUACGGUCGCAAGAUUAAAACUCAAAUGAAUUGACGGGGGCCCGCACAAGCGGUGGAGCAUGUGGUUUAAUUCGAUGCAACGCGAAGAACCUUACCUACUCUUGACAUCCAGAGAACUUUCCAGAGAUGGAUUGGUGCCUUCGGGAACUCUGAGACAGGUGCUGCAUGGCUGUCGUCAGCUCGUGUUGUGAAAUGUUGGGUUAAGUCCCGCAACGAGCGCAACCCUUAUCCUUGUUUGCCAGCGAGUAAUGUCGGGAACUCCAGGGAGACUGCCGGUGAUAAACCGGAGGAAGGUGGGGACGACGUCAAGUCAUCAUGGCCCUUACGAGUAGGGCUACACACGUGCUACAAUGGCGCAUACAGAGGGCAGCAAGCUAGCGAUAGUGAGCGAAUCCCAAAAAGUGCGUCGUAGUCCGGAUUGGAGUCUGCAACUCGACUCCAUGAAGUCGGAAUCGCUAGUAAUCGUGGAUCAGAAUGCCACGGUGAAUACGUUCCCGGGCCUUGUACACACCGCCCGUCACACCA